CUCUCUCUCUCUCUCCUCUCUCUCUCUCUCUCUCUCUCUCUCUCUCUCUCUCUGUGCGUUUUGUGUUACGCUAAUAGAACCUUUAGAUUAAUUAAGUUGGCUGUUGGGUUUUUUUGAUUCUGGAUAUGGGUUUGAGUUGGCUUUUGGGAUUUUGAUUAUCAAAUCUCUGUUUUUAAUCAGAUUAUCUGACAUGGGUUUGAGUUCCUGUGAAUGUUUUCAGACAUGGGUUUGAGUUCUUUUUGGUCUGUGACAAAGUGUUCUUGCAUUUGCUUUCAAGUCUUUUAUUGUUUGGUCUGAAUAAAGCUUGGUUAAGUAACAUAUUUUUACGUUUGAUGCAUAGAUGAUAAGAAGACUAAGAAAAUGAUAUAUUACUACAAGACUCUUGUUAGUUCGUAUGCUUAUGAAAUAUUCCUUCCAUAUUAUAAUAAUGAUAAUAGCUAGGUAGUUUAAAUUGGUUGUCACAUAUCAUGCACGCACCUUGGUUACGAUAAUCAAGUCGAUAUGAAUUGUAGUUUUAUGAAUAAUUAAACAUUUCUAUCCGACCACCAACGAACACUCGAGAGGUGUUUAACCGAAGACAUUCAAGCUUGCGAUCAGUGAUUGAGCGGACAUUUGGAGUGUGGAAAGCAAAAUGGAGAAUUUUUGACCGUAGGCAUCCAAAAUAUGGUUUGAUCAAAUGGAUAAAGCUAGUGACGGCAACGAUGGCUCUACACAACUUCAUACGUGAUUCACAUCGAGAAGAUAAUGAUUUUAUGCAUUGGCAGAGAAGAGAGAAUAUCAUACACAUGGCGAUAAUGAUGAAGAAGAAAGAGAUGAAGAGGAAGAUGAUGAAGAAGAAGAAAGAGAUGAAGAGGAAGAUGAUGAAGAAGAAGAAGAUGGUGAUGGUAAUGAUGGACAUAUUCCAUAUGAGCUGACUGGUGAUAGAGCCAUGGAAGAGUUAAGAGUUACGUGAUCAUAUUGGUAAUGAGUUGAGUAGAGGAUAUUGAUUACGUUACUAGUUUAUUUGAUUUGAGUUUGUAUUGAUGUUUAUUAUUAGUUACUCGUAUGACCACUUUCUUUAUUAUCUAGACUUUUUCAAUAUUCUAACUUACAUGGAAUGAUAUUCAAGUGUAGACGAUUUUUUGUUGAGACAUUUUCUUGAAUCAGUUGAAGUGGAAAAUAAGGUAUAGAGUAAGCUUUAUAAUUUUAAUGAUUUAGCCACGUUUUUGAAGAAAUUUAAGUACACAAGAGCAAAUGUAUGUCAAAAAUAAUAUUUGGUCGCCAGCGAUACCGAAACGAACAACAUAGCGACAACCGCUGCGAUCAAUCGCGCGACAUGGAAACGAACAACUCAGCGACAACCGCUGCGAUCAAUCGCGCGACGUUCAAACGAACAACUAUCAGUGAUAUCAUGUCGCAGUCGCUGGUCGCUGACGCUGGCAAUCACGAAACGAACAGAGCAUUCAUCGUUAGAAAGGGGUGAAAAUAAAUAAAAGAUGGAUUAUAAAAUCUAGAAAUGAUAGAAAAAUAGACGGCUGGAAUUUUCAAAAAAAAAAAAAAACACUUGCUUAUUGCAUAUGACUUGUCACGUGUGAAUUAGCUGGCGAAAAAAUAUUAUAAAAGUGACCAAUACUAAACAUUAAACCCCAAUUAUCCAUCAGCGUACUAAGAAAUCAUCCACCACCCAGAAAUCGUGUAAAGGCAUUGUUUGGUUGAUGGAACAACAUAUCUCUCAAGAUCAAGCUCGUGAGUCUCUCAUCGCCAUCAUCUCUUACACCUCAUCGCUGGAGCAAGAGCCUCUAACCACCUCAGAUGUGAAACCUGUCAUCACCAUAAGAAACUCAGAAGAUGCGGAAGAGCUCAGAUCAGAGCUGAUUUCCAUCUCCGACCACGACUCACCGGAUGAACCUAUUUCCUCGACACCACCGGCCAACAGUAUCUGUCGUGGAUAGUAGUAAAUGUACAGCACCAAGUCUUUGCUUUUGUUUGGUCUAAAAGUAGACCAUUAAUGUCACAUAUGUAAACGUCUCUCAUCAAUCAAUAUAUCUUCUUUGUGUGCUUA
This is a long non-coding RNA of Brassica napus (rape), 2041 nucleotides long. RefSeq lists it as uncharacterized. The record is from RefSeq and is a predicted model, not a curated record. The transcript has 2 exons. Lineage: Eukaryota; Viridiplantae; Streptophyta; Magnoliopsida; Brassicales; Brassicaceae.